UAAGCAUAUCAAUAAGCGGAGGAAAAGAAACUAACAAGGAUUCCCCUAGUAACGGCGAGUGAAGAGGGAAGAGCCCAAGAUUGAAAGCUGGCGUCUUCGACGUCCGCAUUGUAAUCUCAAGAAUUGUUUUCCGCUUCGGACCAAGCCUAAGUCUCCUGGAAAGGAGCAUCAUAGAGGGUGAUAAUCCCGUACAUGGCUUGGAGCGCCCGUAGCUUUGUGAUACAUUUUCUAAGAGUCGAGUUGUUUGGGAAUGCAGCUCAAAAUGGGUGGUAAAUGCCAUCUAAGGCUAAAUAUUGGGGAGAGACCGAUAGCGAACAAGUACAGUGAUGGAAAGAUGAAAAGAACUUUGAAAAGAGAGUUAAACAGUACGUGAAAUUGCCAAAAGGGAAGGGUAGGAGGUCAGAGAUGCUUGCUGGGAUUCAGCCUUGCUUUUGCUUGGUGUUUUUCCUAGUCGGCAGGCCAACGUCGGUUUUGGGCACUGGAGAAGGGUAAGAGGAACGUGGCACCCCUCGGGGUGUGUUUAUAGCCUCUUACUGGAUACAGCGACCGAGACCGAGGACAGCAGCGUACUCGCAAGAGCGGGCCUUCGGGCACCUUUACGCUUAGGGCGUUGGCAUAAUGGCCCUCUACCACCCGUCUUGAAACACGGACCAAGGAGUCU
Molecule: ribosomal RNA, 661 nt
Filed under: Sporisorium consanguineum
Lineage: Eukaryota; Fungi; Basidiomycota; Ustilaginomycetes; Ustilaginales; Ustilaginaceae
Description: LSU rRNA
Rfam family: Eukaryotic large subunit ribosomal RNA
Source: RNAcentral